Podarcis lilfordi (Lilford's wall lizard) is the source of this 82-nucleotide non-coding RNA. The record is from the annotation of a GenBank genome assembly. NCBI's taxonomy places the organism in Eukaryota, Metazoa, Chordata, Lepidosauria, Squamata, Lacertidae.
UGCCAGAAGCAUAGAUAGCUCAGUUGGUACACUGUGAGACUCUUAAUCUCAGGGUCGUAGGUUCAAGUCCAACAAUGGGUAA